This 409-nucleotide ribosomal RNA is filed under the name uncultured bacterium. RNAcentral describes it as "bacterial SSU rRNA". It matches the Rfam family "Bacterial small subunit ribosomal RNA", at positions 103 to 507 of the family's 1533-position model. The record is from RNAcentral.
CGGGUGAGUAAUAUAUCGGAACGUGCCCAGUCGUGGGGGAUAACGUAGCGAAAGCUACGCUAAUACCGCAUACGAUCUAUGGAUGAAAGCGGGGGAUCGCAAGACCUCGCGCGAUUGGAGCGGCCGAUAUCAGAUUAGGUAGUUGGUGAGGUAAAGGCUCACCAAGCCGACGAUCUGUAGCUGGUCUGAGAGGACGACCAGCCACACUGGGACUGAGACACGGCCCCAGACUCCUACGGGAGGCAGCAGUGGGGAAUUUUGGACAAUGGGCGCAAGCCUGAUCCAGCAAUGCCGCGUGCAGGAUGAAGGCCUUCGGGUUGUAAACUGCUUUUGUACGGAACGAAACGGUGAGCUCUAAUACAGUUUGCUAAUGACGGUACCGUAAGAAUAAGCACCGGCUAACUACGUG